RNAcentral lists this ribosomal RNA (111 nucleotides) under Caerostris darwini. The record is from RNAcentral. Lineage: Eukaryota; Metazoa; Arthropoda; Arachnida; Araneae; Araneidae.
ACGGCCGUACCAUACUGAAUAUACCGGUUCUCGUUAGAUCACCGAAGUCAAGCAUCAUUGGGCGCGGUCAGUACUUGGGUGGGUGACCACCUGGGAACACCGCGUGCCGUU